GAUAGAAUGGCUGAGUUAAAGGCGAUAAACUGUAAAUUUAUUAACGAAAUUAAUUUCUUCUGUCA
This 65-nucleotide transfer RNA is filed under the name Neochauliodes punctatolosus. Its description in RNAcentral is "tRNA-Tyr". It matches the Rfam family "tRNA". From Rfam's summary of the family: Transfer RNA (tRNA) molecules are approximately 80 nucleotides in length. Their secondary structure includes four short double-helical elements and three loops (D, anti-codon, and T loops). RNAcentral also lists the same sequence under 2 other names. Lineage: Eukaryota; Metazoa; Arthropoda; Insecta; Megaloptera; Corydalidae. The record is from RNAcentral.